GUUGGUGGGGUUUGGGAGAGAGAGAGCUUGUGGGGGAAAUGGACGGGUUGUUUUUUUUCGAGUGAUGGAUAGCACGCAACCUGUUUUCGUUUAUUUUGUUUAGAAAUUUAGAAAUAAAUUAGCUGAAAAUGUGAAUCAAUUAGAAUUCGGCCUUGGGUCUCAGCUAUUAACCAUCAAGUUCUUUGCCACUUGCUCUAGAAACAGUCGGUAAAUGGAGGGGGUUGUUGCAGCGACGGUUACAUAGAGAGAGAAGGAGAGAGAGUCUGAUUACUGUCCUAGGACUACCAAAUUUUUCACUCCUUAAAUUAUAUUAUUCAAUUAAUUACUUACUCAAUUUUAAAAAAUUACUAUCAUUUUAACCGUACAUCUCUUAAUUCAAAAUUCGAAAAUCUAAUAAUACA
This 401-nucleotide long non-coding RNA is filed under the name Ananas comosus (pineapple). RNAcentral describes it as "long non-coding RNA (ACOM_LNC035541)". Lineage: Eukaryota; Viridiplantae; Streptophyta; Magnoliopsida; Poales; Bromeliaceae. The record is from RNAcentral.